UGGACAGUGAGGUCAGGAGAGCAUUUGGCCACUUUCAUCAGGGCCGUGGACCGGUCAGUGUGAUGGUUAGGGUAAUGGCUGUGGAUUAGAGGGUCAUGUGGGCCAGGGACAUCGUGGAGGGAGGAACCUCUGUGAGGUCAGUGUGGGGGCAAGGGUAGCGUGGAGCUAGGCAUUUCUCCCACAAUGACCCUCUUCUGCCCCAUGUGAAGCGCUUGUCCUGGCAUCACCCUGGGGGCAGUGAUCUUCUCCGCUGUGGAGGCUUCUAUACAGCCAGUGACCCUAACAAGGAGGAUAUCAGAGCAGUGGAGUUGAUGCUCCAGGCUGGGCAUUCAGAUGUUGUCCUGGUAGACACUAUGGAUGAGCUGCCCAGCCUUGCAGAUGUCCAACUUGCCCACCUGAGGCUGAGGGCCCUCUGCCUGCCCGAUUCAUCUGUAGCUGAGGAUAAAUGGCUUUCAGCCCUGGAAGGAACACGAUGGCUGGACUAUGUCAGGGCUUGUCUUCGAAAGGCCAGUGACAUUUCAGUAUUAGUGACAUCCAGGGUUCGUUCUGUAAUACUUCAAGAGCGCGGUGAUCGUGAUCUCAAUGGCCUCCUCUCUUCACUCGUCCAGCUGCUUUCAGCC
Molecule: small RNA, 620 nt
Filed under: Pan troglodytes (chimpanzee)
Lineage: Eukaryota; Metazoa; Chordata; Mammalia; Primates; Hominidae
Description: retained intron
Source: RNAcentral